UUUUAUUCAGACCGACACGUAAGAGACCGCGUCAGGCUACACCUCCGUCGCGUCACCGAGAACAACAACACCGAGAGGAGGACGAGGCAUCCGACGACAGCGAGAAUCGGCAAAAAACGAGUGAAUUUCCGGUUGCGGGCGUGCUGGAGCCAAUCCCAGCUAUAUCUUCGGGUGAGAGGCGGAGUACACCCUGAAGUGGUCGCCAGCCAAUCGCAGGGCACAUAUAAACAAACAACCAUUUUCACUCACAUUCACACAUACGGGCAAUUUAGAGUUGUCAAUUAACCUACGAUGCAUGUUUUUGGGAUGUGGGAGGAAACCGGAGUGCCCGGAGAAAACCCACGCAGGCACGGGGAGAACAUGCAAACUCCACACAGGCGGGGCCGGGGAUUGAACCUGCUCUAUAAGUGUAAUGCAUUAUUAUUAUUACGGAUGUCUUAACCAGAAAGUGUUCCAAUUUCAAGUCAGUGGAUUUAGCAUGUUUUCCCUGUGCUUGAGUCCUUUUUCAAAACCUGGUGUUCUUGGUUCCUCCCCCAGUCAUUAAAACAUGUAUGCUUGGUUCAUUGAUGAUUUGAAAUUGCCCGUGUAUGCAGGAGCACUAUCAGAAAUUAUUUGGUGUGGUGGCUGAAGGCAUUCGUCGAUGGGUGGUGGGGUGGCCGCAACCAAUCAUCAACGGAGACAGGGGUGUGCUGAUUGACUUUUUCUGCCGCCGAACCUAUCGACGGGGGUGUUGAGGAGGGGACUUUUCCGCCGUUUAAUAUACCUGACACUAGGAUUAAUGUGACUGACUAGCGAGUGGGGUGGCCACUGAGGUGGCCGACAAAUUCAUCGGGGUGGCCGUGGCCACCCCCUGAUGGCGCUCCUGCCUGUGUGGUUGUCUCUCUUGGUCAGUCUUGUGAUUGACUUGGUGUUGUGCUAUAUCUCACCGUGUCAUCAGUAAUGACAGCAACAUUGUCACACUUAAGAACCCCCUGCCAAAAGGAAUCUCACCAAUGACAAACAGUGGGUUCUAAGCUGUGGCAGCUGGUCAACAUCCUGCGGGGAAAAUGAGACUUCAGACCAAUUUAUGGCCAUCAUCUCUGUGUGCGAGGUCACCACAGCAGCUCUUCAACACGCACGUACAGAUGUGAAGCAUACCUAGCGAGUGAUUGAAUAUCCCAGUGGUGCAAACACUUCUGACCUAAACGCCGUCCUUUGCAAUAAAAUGUGCAUGGCUGUAGGAUACAGCAUCUCAAAGGACUGAGUUUUGUACUUUUCCAUUCAAAGUAAGGCACAAAGAGCUUGUGUAAUACACAUUUGUCACGAAGCUGCCUUUACAUCUGUCCUCGCAGGUGACUGACUUGAUUAAACAUUGAUUUCCCUUAAUCAAGACCACCAGCUAAGGUAGCCAUGUUAGC
Molecule: long non-coding RNA, 1397 nt
Organism: Phyllopteryx taeniolatus (common seadragon)
Lineage: Eukaryota; Metazoa; Chordata; Actinopteri; Syngnathiformes; Syngnathidae
Exons: 3
Source: RefSeq, a predicted model, not a curated record